GAUGAACGCUAGCUACAGGCUUAACACAUGCAAGUCGAGGGGAAACGGCAUUGAGUGCUUGCACUCUUUGGACGUCGACCGGCGCACGGGUGAGUAACGCGUAUCCAACCUUCCCAUUACUGUGGGAUAACCUGCCGAAAGGCAGACUAAUACCGCAUAGUCUUCGAUGACGGCAUCAGAUUUGAAGUAAAGAUUUAUCGGUAAUGGAUGGGGAUGCGUCUGAUUAGCUUGUUGGCGGGGUAACGGCCCACCAAGGCUACGAUCAGUAGGGGUUCUGAGAGGAAGGUCCACCACAUUGGAACUGAGACACGGUCCAAACUCCUACGGGAGGCAGCAGUGAGGAAUAUUGGUCAAUGGACGGAAGUCUGAACCAGCCAAGUAGCGUGCAGGAUGACGGCCCUAUGGGUUGUAAACUGCUUUUGUAUGGGGAUAAAGUUAGGGACGUGUCCCUAUUUGCAGGUACCAUACGAAUAAGGACCGGCUAAUUCCGUG
This 492-nucleotide ribosomal RNA is filed under the name uncultured bacterium. Its description in RNAcentral is "partial 16S ribosomal RNA". It matches the Rfam family "Bacterial small subunit ribosomal RNA", at positions 28 to 507 of the family's 1533-position model. The record is from RNAcentral.